UGGAUGUAUGGGGACAUUUAGCAGUUGGGUCAUGGAUGUAGCGUGUAGACGUCGAAUUUCACUCUGAAGCUAGCUGAUCACGUUGAGAAUGAAAUCGACAAUGGCUCGUGUGCCACGUGCAUAGCUUGCUUGUUGCCUAUGUUUGGUUUUGGCUUCUUUCCUUGCUGUGAGAAAAGCUGGGCAUGGCACGUGGGACCCACUUGCCAGUGGCGUAAGGCCCUUGGUUAGUCAUGAGGUUUUCCUCCCCCUAUGUUUGGAAACCUGAACCUGAAGCAGCCCAUGCGGCACGGAGCCUGCAUGCAUGCUCCCAAUCCGAUCUGACGGUCACCGUCGCCCCCAUCCUCCCGCGCACGAAUCUCGGC
This 362-nucleotide long non-coding RNA is filed under the name Sorghum bicolor (sorghum). RNAcentral's name for it is "long non-coding RNA (SBIC_LNC018243)". Lineage: Eukaryota; Viridiplantae; Streptophyta; Magnoliopsida; Poales; Poaceae. The record is from RNAcentral.